UACGAAGGGGGCUAGCGUUGCUCGGAAUCACUGGGCGUAAAGGGUGCGUAGGUGGGCAGGUAAGUCAGUGGUGAAAUCCCCGGGCUUAACCCGGGAACUGCCAUUGAUACUAUCUGUCUUGAAUAUCCUGGAGGUGAGCGGAAUAUGUCAUGUAGCGGUGAAAUGCUUAGAUAUGACAUAGAACACCCAUUGCGAAGGCAGCUCACUACGGGAUCAUUGACACUGAGGCACGAAAGCGUGGGGAUCAAACAGG
This 253-nucleotide ribosomal RNA is filed under the name uncultured bacterium. Its description in RNAcentral is "partial 16S ribosomal RNA". It matches the Rfam family "Bacterial small subunit ribosomal RNA", at positions 524 to 776 of the family's 1533-position model. The record is from RNAcentral.